CCUACGGGUGGCAGCAGUGGGGAAUAUUGCACAAUGGGGGAAACCCUGAUGCAGCGACGCCGCGUGAAGGAUGAAGGAUUUCGGUACGUAAACUUCUAUCAGCAGGGAAGAAAAUGAGGGUAAGUGACUAAGCAGCCCUGGCUAACUACGUGCCAGCAGCCGCGGUAUUACGACGGGGGCAAGCGUUAUCCGGAAUUAAUGGGUGUAAAGUGAGCGUAGACGGUAUGGCAAGUCUGAUGUGAAAACCCAGGGCUCAACCCCGGGACGGCAUUGGAAACUGUAGAACUUGAGUGUAGGAGAGGCAAGUGGAAUUCCUUGUGUAGCGGUGAAAUGCGUAGAGAUAUGGAGGAACACCAGUGGCGAAGGCGACUUGCUGGACGGUAACUGACGUUGAGGCGCGAAAGCGUGGGGAGCAAACAGGAUUAGAUACCCGAGUAGUC
This 440-nucleotide ribosomal RNA is filed under the name uncultured bacterium. RNAcentral's name for it is "partial 16S ribosomal RNA". It matches the Rfam family "Bacterial small subunit ribosomal RNA", at positions 338 to 795 of the family's 1533-position model. The record is from RNAcentral.